This 495-nucleotide ribosomal RNA is filed under the name uncultured bacterium. RNAcentral's name for it is "partial 16S ribosomal RNA". It matches the Rfam family "Bacterial small subunit ribosomal RNA", at positions 28 to 507 of the family's 1533-position model. The record is from RNAcentral.
GAUGAACGCUGGCGGCGUGCCUAAUACAUGCAAGUAGAACGCUGAAGGAGGAGCUUGCUCUUCUGGAUGAGUUGCGAACGGGUGAGUAACGCGUAGGUAACCUGCCUGGUAGCGGGGGAUAACUAUUGGAAACGAUAGCUAAUACCGCAUGACAACAGUUAUUGCAUGAUAACUGUUUAAAAGGGGCAACUGCUCCAGUACCAGAUGGACCUGCGUUGUAUUAGCUAGUUGGUGAGGUAACGGCUCACCAAGGCGACGAUACAUAGCCGACCUGAGAGGGUGAUCGGCCACACUGGGACUGAGACACGGCCCAGACUCCUACGGGAGGCAGCAGUAGGGAAUCUUCGGCAAUGGACGGAAGUCUGACCGAGCAACGCCGCGUGAGUGAAGAAGGGUUUCGGAUCGUAAAGCUCUGUUGUAAGAGAAGAACGAGUGUGAGAGUGGAAAGUUCACACUGUGACGGUAUCUUACCAGAAAGGGACGGCUAACUACGUG